GGCGUGGGCUGGGGGCUUACAGGUCCAGGAAGGAGGCCGGGCCCAGCUCUGGACAGGGCGUGGGCUGGGGGCUUACAGGUCCAGGAAUGAGGCUGCGCUCAGCUCUGGACAGGGCGUGGGCUGGGGGCUUACAGCUCCAGGACAGGGCGAGGUAGAGGAGUGAAGGCUGUGAAGAGGAACCCUCAGGGGUGAAGGGGAUUCAGCUUAAACUGACCUGCUGCCCUGGGGACAGUGGAAGAUGAGGAGCUCCAUCAGCUGUCAAGGGCGAUGGGACACAGGGAAGGAGGUCCUUGCUAAACUGACUGAGCCAGGCCUGUUAAAUCAGGUUCUCACCAGGAUGUGCACAGCACCCAGGAGGAGCUCAGGAGUCGGGCUGCCAUUGCCAAGCAGGGAGCCUGUUACCUGUCAGUGGGCACUCUGCUUCCAGGCGCUUGGCCCGUGUUGCAGAGGCCGGAGACGCUGCAGCCAUGCGCUGGCCUUCCCGGUGCUCGUGCAUGUCCUGCUGCUUGGCACAGCGGAGUUGCAUAUCCAGAUCCAGCCCUGGGCAGCAGCCUCCUCACAGCCCCCAGACCCGGCCUGUCUGUGACGGUCACACCUGCUCAGGGAACUGUCCCUCCAGUGCAGAUGCAUGCUGGCUCUCGGGCUGUGUUUGGGUGGUGGCUCUGGUGUGGGGGUCCUACCAGCCCCGAGGUUCAUACUCCCCUGUUCUCAGGGCUUGGAGGGUGCCAUGUUCUGAAAACGAUCUUCCCCAGCCAGGGAGGCCACAUCUUUCACAGCACACUGCUUUCUCUGGAGGUGGCAUUUCUUUAUUUGCCUUCUGUGCCCGGGAACCUAACUUCCUCACUCCGGCCCGCUCUGCCAGCAGCUUUGAGCUGGUCCAGCACCCCACUGCCAGGCCUUGGCCUGCGCCUGGCCCUCCAGGGUGGCUCCUGGCCAGUUCCCAUCAGGCUGCCUGGGCAGUCAGGCCUGGGCACUUUUCUGUGGUUCAGAAAACCCACAGGCCGUGGGGCCCCGGAGCCUGGUAGCACCAGCUUCCCUGCCCUGCCCGCCUCAAGGGUGCCUGGGGGUGCCCCAGCCUGCCGCCCCCACAGUCCAUUCUCCAGUGCCUGUCUCUGAGCAGGCUAGCAUGGGCUGAGUGACCAGCGUGAUCGCGUACAGGCCAGUGCCACAUUCUGUGUGGUUCAAGGAAAACCCUUCUCCAAGUCCGAGGCCCGCCCUUUCCUCUGCUGGAUUUCGGCCGAGGCCGCCGCGCCAGACCUCACUGGAGGACAUGGACCCUGGACCCGACCCUCAAAGCUGCUGCCUUCCCAUUUCCCAGUGCCCUGGACACUCUUGGUCUUACCAUUUGGGAGGCUGACGGGAUGCAGAGUGGCCUGUCGGAAAGGUCUUGUGUGACCCCAGGCCGAGUCCCUGAGCAGCCCACCCCGAGACCAGAGGGGAAAAGAGCCGAGCUUCUCCCUCGCUGGGCUGGGCUCGGGCUGUGGAAGGGCUGCCAGCUCCCUUCCUGGUAGAGGCUGGGUGGGGUCCACAGGGCCUUCCUCCAGCCCAGAAGGAAGCUGCUGUCUUCUGCUGUUGGCUGCUGAGAGAGCUGGGGGUCACCGGCGUUCAGAUUCACCCGGAUUUGCACCCUGCAAAUCCCAGACUCACCUUCCCACUCUUUCCAGAGUCCCCAGAGACACACUUAAGGGAAAUUCAACUGCAGAAUGCAAGAGAUGCCUCAGUCACACCAGCGGAAACGUAUGGGUCACGGUGGGCGGGCACUCACCUGCCGCAGGAGGAUGGCUUUGAUUCUAGCACUUUCCACAUGGGGUGAAUGUGGCGGGCUUGGGGGAUUUUUCAAAUGCGUCAGUGUCUGGAAUGGGUUCUAAGCUACCAAAAAAUUCUUAGAGGUAAAUUACAGACGUGUUGCCUCAUCAUAGCUAGACAGCAUUCCCUGUAUGGUGAAGUCUCUCCUCCACCCGCAGUGACAGAUACUCACAGACACCACGGCCGCUGUCACUCCCCUGCUGCGCGCCUCCCACGUGCCUCCAAACGUGCGUCCAUUGCUCUGUCUUUCCUGCGAAGUUACUCACCCUAGUGGUCAGCCCACCGACAGAAUGGAUUUGGACCUACUGGACCUGAAUCCCAGAAUUAUUGCCGCAGUUAAGAAAGCCAAACUGAAAUCGGUAAAAGAGGUUUUGCACUUUUCUGGACCAGACUUGAAGAGACUGACCAACCUCUCCAGCCCCGAGGUCUGGCACUUGCUGAGAACAGCCUCCUUACACCUGCGGGGAAGCAGCAUUCUUACAGCACUACACCUGCACCAGCAAAAGGAGCAGUUCCCCGCACAGCAUCAGCGCCUGAGCCUCGGCUGCCCGGUACUGGACGCGCUUCUCCGUGGUGGCCUGCCCCUGGAUGGCAUCACCGAGCUAGCUGGACGCAGUUCGGCAGGAAAGACCCAGCUGGCGCUGCAGCUCUGCCUGGCCGUGCAGUUCCCACGGCAGCAUGGAGGCCUAGAGUCUGGAGCCGUCUACAUCUGCACAGAAGACGCCUUCCCACACAAGCGCCUGCAGCAGCUCAUGGCCCACCAGCCACGGCUGCGCACUGACGUUCCAGGAGAGCUGCUUCAGAGGCUCCCAUCUGGCAGCCAGAUCUUCAUCGAGCACGCAGCCGACGUGGACACCUUGUUGGAGUGUGUGAAUAAGAAGGUCCCUGUUCUGCUGUCUCGGGGCAUGGCUCGCCUGGUGGUCAUCGACUCGGUGGCAGCCCCAUUCCGCUGUGAGUUUGACAGCCAGGCCUCCGUCCCCAGGGCCAGGCAUCUGCAGUCCCUGGGGGCCACACUGCGUGAGCUGAGCAGUACCUUCCAGAGCCCCGUGCUGUGCAUCAACCAGGUGACAGAGGCCAUGGAGGAGCAGGGCACAGCGCACGGACCGCCGGGAUUCUGGGACGAGCGUAUUUUCCCGGCCCUUGGCAUAACCUGGGCCAACCAGCUUCUGGUGAGACUGCUGGCUGACCGGCUCCGUGAGGAAGAGGCUGCCCUCGGCCAGCCGGUCCGGACCCUGCGGGUGCUCUUUGCCCCCCACCUGCCCCCCUCUUCUUGUUCCUACACAAUCAGUACAGAAGGGGUGCGAGGGACAUCUGGGACCCAGUCCCACUGACACGACAGCAGCUGCAGAACAGCCGUGCCUGAGAAGCACUGACACACUGGCACUCCGGCCUUGAAAAUGCUAUGUGCCUUGGCCAUGGCACAGCUGGGAACCUGGUUCUGAGCCGUCUUCCAGGGCAGCAGCUCCACUUUCUCAACCAAAGAUGGUGACCACGGACUGACCCCCACCUGAUCUGGGUGGGGGGGCGGGGGGCGCUGUUCCACCCCUCCCUGGAUUUGGGCACCUGGUCCCCACUGCUGAGCUCGCCCCUGGGGGCAGGUGAUUCUCAGGGCUGGGGCCUGGGGGUGUCCCUACAGUGACUCCCUGGGAACCCCCUGCUUCGGCUUCCCACAUGGAAGCCCACCUGGGGUCAGGUCUGAGGCCUGGCACCUCAGACCCGUGCAGCCCCUGGGACCCUCCUCCACACAGAGCAGUCCUUACUUCCCCUACCACCCAGGCUACAGCAGGGCUGCAGGCAGGUGGCUCCUCCUCACCCACCUUUGGGUCCUUGGCUCCUGGGGGCCCCAUCCCAGCACACAUGGUGCCCCUCAAAACUUCAAUGUGGUACAAGGUGAAGAGAGCAUAUCCCACUGACCUCCAGCUUCAGAGUCCAGGGGAGCCCGGGGGAGGGGGGACUGCCUUGACUCUAGUAGUGUGGCCUGUGCCAGCACCACAGCCAGAUGGAGGAGCUCAGGCAGUGCAGGGCUGGCACGUGAUAGGCUCAUCAGUUAGCUAGCUCAUCAGUUAUGGCAGGACUCCUGGCAGGGCAACCUGCACACCCAGCCGCACACUGCCCAGGCCCUACAUCUGGCUGCAGAUGCUGACACAUCUGCCUAGUGGUGAGAAGUGGCGUGGCCUCCCCAUGGGCAGAGCAAGGACCCUCUUGAUUCCCACCGCAAACCCUCCUCCACCCCCAAGUGCCCCCAUGUGCUGCCUGGCACCGAGCAGGCCUUUGACAAAUAAACAGCAAAUGGAUGCAGCUCCAGGACCUGCUUCCUGCUGUCUGCCAGCCAUUCCUCUAAGUAAUCUAUGCACAUGGAAGUAUGUUCUCGUCACAGCUCCUGGGGACAGGCAAGACAUGCCAGCAGUGAGAAAACGAGACACAGCUUAACGACAGCCCUGAGACAGCUGGCGCCCCGGCAAGAUGCCGUCAGACGUGAGUGCUCUACGGGACUCAGAAACCUGACCACAGUGUACACACAGCUCACGAGUGCGUGCCAACAGAAGCUAAUGACCUCCUCCAGGAAAAUUCCAUAACGUUAUGAUAGUGCAAAGCCUGUUAUAGACUGUAACCAUACCUCCUUAGCAGUGUUUAAUAUAUCUUACUAUAAAUACUGAAUUUCUAAUUACAUGAUAUUCCUAGCA
Molecule: non-coding RNA, 4490 nt
Organism: Callithrix jacchus (white-tufted-ear marmoset)
Lineage: Eukaryota; Metazoa; Chordata; Mammalia; Primates; Cebidae
Source: RefSeq, a predicted model, not a curated record